Molecule: unclassified non-coding RNA, 237 nt
Filed under: Melitaea cinxia (Glanville fritillary)
Lineage: Eukaryota; Metazoa; Arthropoda; Insecta; Lepidoptera; Nymphalidae
Description: misc RNA ENSMCXG00005020229.1
Source: RNAcentral
GCGCCUCCUGCGAUAAGCUAUAUAAGUCGAGUUAUAUCAGGUAAAUUAUGUGAACAGGUGAAUCGUUACGAGUAGCCACUCAUUUUAAUUUUUAUGUAUUAAUUAAAGAAUAUAAGUUAAUGUAUUAGGGUUCCGUUUCUCCUACAUGGUGAUAGGGGACGGAAUUAGAAAAAUUGUGUCAUUUUGCGUCUUCUAAACUAUUAGCGCUAGCUACAGAGCUAACUAAAACGUUAACUG